Molecule: long non-coding RNA, 717 nt
Organism: Coregonus clupeaformis (lake whitefish)
Lineage: Eukaryota; Metazoa; Chordata; Actinopteri; Salmoniformes; Salmonidae
Exons: 4
Source: RefSeq, a predicted model, not a curated record
UUGCGUGUAAUUUAUUUUGCUCCGUCUCAUGUCUCUGUCUCUUAAAUCUCCAUACUUUUACCGAAGUGUGCACUAGUACACUUCGGUACUAGCACACUUGAUAGUGUAGUUUCAAAUCUGCAGCUACUGUAGUCUGUUGUUCAACAACUUUGUGUUUGUCUGUCUUAGUCAGGGCAGUUCAUCCCAUGUGUCCCGGUGGGCCUAAGAUGGGAGUGGAGGAGACAAGAUGACCAUGACUGUCAUAGUCAGUACAACCGUCUUCUGACUGUUGUUGACGUUAGAGGAAGAGCUCAUGACAUCAGCCCCAAACAGCAAUUUCAGUGGACCUCCUGCAGCUGGAGUGUGAGGUGUCUUUGAGUGGGAUUACCUUGGCUUUCGAUAAAUCCAAUGCAUGCUGGAAGACAGUUGAGCUCUACCGGAAGCUCACAAGUGAGUAAUUUGAGGAGUUCAAACACUGGCAGUUUGAAUGACAGACUGUCAGGAAGUUGCCGCCACUGACAUCGGACGGAACAAAGUGUCCUCUCUGUCCACAGGUUCAGGAACUUCGGCGGAUGCUCGUGCCUGCACGCCAUCCCAAACACACCAGUUAUGUCCAGUUUCUGGGAUUUGGAUCGCAGUGCAUCCCCGGCUUGAAAUCCCCAAUGGAAGGAACAAUGAUCCUGCAGUAACAGGAAAUGUUCAUUUUUAUGUGGAUAAUAAUAAAUUGACAUUUCUGUC